CUUGGCGGCAGGCCUAACACAUGCAAGUUCGAGCGCCCCCGCAAGGGGAGCGGCGGACGGGUGAGUAACGCGUGGGAACGUACCCUUUGCUACGGAAUAGCCUCGGGAAACUGGGAGUAAUACCGUAUGUGCCCUUCGGGGGAAAGAUUUAUCGGCAAAGGAUCGGCCCGCGUUGGAUUAGGUAGUUGGUGGGGUAAUGGCCUACCAAGCCGACGAUCCAUAGCUGGUUUGAGAGGAUGAUCAGCCACACUGGGACUGAGACACGGCCCAGACUCCUACGGGAGGCAGCAGGUGGGAAUCUUAGACAAUGGGCGCAAGCCUGAUCUAGCCAUGCCGCGUGAGCGAUGAAGGCCGUUAGGGUUAGUAAAGCUCUUCAGUGGGAAGAUAAUGACUGUACCCACAGAAGAAGCCCCGGCUAACUCCGUG
RNAcentral lists this ribosomal RNA (426 nucleotides) under uncultured bacterium. RNAcentral's name for it is "bacterial SSU rRNA". It matches the Rfam family "Bacterial small subunit ribosomal RNA", at positions 37 to 507 of the family's 1533-position model. The record is from RNAcentral.